ACACCCUCAAGCUCUGCUUGGUGUUGGGCGUCUGUCCCGCCUCUGCGCGUGGACUCGCCCCAAAUUCAUUGGCAGCGGUCUUUGCCUCCUCUCGCGCAGCACAUUGCGCUUUAGAGGGGUGUGGGCCGCGUCCACGAAGCAACAUUAUCGU
This 151-nucleotide unclassified non-coding RNA is filed under the name uncultured Ascomycota. RNAcentral's name for it is "sequence contains ITS2". RNAcentral also lists the same sequence under 2 other names. Lineage: Eukaryota; Fungi; Ascomycota. The record is from RNAcentral.